UACGUAGGGGCAAGCGUUAUCCGGAUUUACUGGGUGUAAAGGGAGCGCAGACGGAACUGCAAGUCUGAUGUGAAAGCCCGGGGCUCAACCGCGGGACUGCAUCGGAUACUGUGGAUCUGGAGUGCCGGAGGGGCAAGCGGAAUUCCUGGUGUAGCGGUGAAAUGCGUAGAUAUCAGGAGGAACACCGGUGGCGAAGGCGGCUUUCUGGCCAGUUACUGACGCUCAUGCGCGAAAGCUGGGGUAGCGAACCGGAUUAGAUACCCCU
RNAcentral lists this ribosomal RNA (265 nucleotides) under uncultured prokaryote. RNAcentral's name for it is "partial 16S ribosomal RNA". It matches the Rfam family "Bacterial small subunit ribosomal RNA", at positions 524 to 789 of the family's 1533-position model. The record is from RNAcentral.